CCCUCAGAUGUUCUGGGCUGCACGCGCGCUACACUGAUGCACUCAACGAGUUUACGACCUUGCCCGAUAGGGUUGGGUAAUCUUUUUAAAAUGCAUCGUGAUGGGGAUAGAUUAUUGCAAUUAUUAAUCUUCAACGAGGAAUUCCUAGUAAGCGCGAGUCAUCAGCUCGUGCUGAUUACGUCCCUGCCCUUUGUACACACCGCCCGUCGCUCCUACCGAUUGAGUGCUCAGGUGAAUAAUUCGGACUGCAGCAAUGUUUGGAUCCCGAACGUUGCAGCGGAAAGUUUAGUGAACCUUAUCACUUAGAGGAAGGAGAAGUCGUAACA
RNAcentral lists this ribosomal RNA (326 nucleotides) under uncultured eukaryote. RNAcentral's name for it is "partial 18S ribosomal RNA". It matches the Rfam family "Eukaryotic small subunit ribosomal RNA", at positions 1470 to 1796 of the family's 1831-position model. The record is from RNAcentral.